AUUGAACGCUGGCGGCAGGCCUAACACAUGCAAGUCGAGCGAGCGGCGGACGGGUGAGUAAUGUCUGGGAAACUGCCUGAUGGAGGGGGAUAACUACUGGAAACGGUAGCUAAUACCGCAUACAAUCAGAUGUGCCCAGAUGGGAGUAGCUAGUAGGUGGGGUAACGGCUCACCUAGGCGACGAUCCCUAGCUGGUCUGAGAGGAUGACCAACCACACUGGAACUGAUUCACGGUCCAGACUCCUGCAUGAGGCAGCAGUGGUGAAUCUUGCCCAAUGGGCGCGAGCCUGAUGCAGCCAUGCGGCGUGUGUGACGGAGGCCUUCGGGUUGUAAAGCACUUUCCGCGGGGAGGCGUUACCCGCUGAAGAAGCACCGGCUAACUCCGUGCCAGCAGCCGCGGUAAUUC
This 406-nucleotide ribosomal RNA is filed under the name uncultured bacterium. RNAcentral describes it as "partial 16S ribosomal RNA". It matches the Rfam family "Bacterial small subunit ribosomal RNA", at positions 30 to 526 of the family's 1533-position model. The record is from RNAcentral.